This 806-nucleotide ribosomal RNA is filed under the name uncultured bacterium. RNAcentral's name for it is "bacterial SSU rRNA". It matches the Rfam family "Bacterial small subunit ribosomal RNA", at positions 9 to 811 of the family's 1533-position model. The record is from RNAcentral.
GAGUUUGAUCCUGGCUCAGGAUGAACGCUGUUUCGCGUGCUUAACACAUGCAAGUCGAACGAAGCACGGGGACGGAAGCCCUCCGGGGUGGAAGGCCGCGUGACUGAGUGGCGGACGGGUGAGUAACGCGUGGGUAACCUGCCCCAUACAGGGGGAUAACAGCCGGAAGCGGCUGCUAAUACCGCAUGCACAUGCGGGGGCGCAUGCCCCUGGAUGGAAAGCUUUCGCGGUAUGGGAUGGGCCCGCGUCUGAUUAGGCAGUUGGCGGGGUAACGGCCCACCAAACCGACGAUCAGUAGCCGGCCUGAGAGGGCAACCGGCCACAUUGGGACUGAGACACGGCCCAAACUCCUACGGGAGGCAGCAGUGGGGAAUAUUGCACAAUGGGGGGAACCCUGAUGCAGCGACGCCGCGUGGGUGAAGGAGUAUUUCGGUAUGUAAAGCCCUAUCAGCAGGGAAGAACAAUGACGGUACCUGACUAAGAAGCACCGGCUAAAUACGUGCCAGCAGCCGCGGUAAUACGUAUGGUGCAAGCGUUAUCCGGAUUUACUGGGUGUAAAGGCAGCGCAGGCGGCGCGUUAAGCCUGGUGUGAAAGCCCGCGGCCCAACCGCGGGACUGCAUUGGGAACUGGCGCGCUGGAGUGCCGGAGGGGUAGGCGGAAUUCCUAGUGUAGCGGUGAAAUGCGUAGAUAUUAGGAGGAACACCAGUGGCGAAGGCGGCCUACUGGACGGUGACUGACGCUGAGGCUCGAAAGCGUGGGGAGCAAACAGGAUUAGAUACCCUGGUAGUCCACGCCGUAAACGGUG